GCCGCCGCACCUCUGCUCUUAAGGUAAUUUGAUGCGGAUUUUUUUCCGUUCUUAACCGAUUAGUAGGUGUACAUACAUGUCAACGUGAUGGAUUUGAUGCAGAUUUGUUGCUGUUGUACAUGAAUAUAAGUGUGUGUAGAACUGUAGAUGAACUCGCUGCUGUACAUGAAUACAAGUGUGUGUAGAUGAUUGAUGAAACAAUGGCUAUAAGUGUGUGUUGAUAUAGAUUUCUUGCUGCUGUUGACAUAUAUAUUUCUUGCUGUUGACAUAUAUAUUUCUUGCUGUUGAUAUAGAUUUAGCAUGGAGGGGCAUGAGGGUGAUGAAGCAGAUUAUCAUCCUGAAGAAUUAGAAGGGCGUGAGGGUGAGAUGGAGCUGUUUAUUGUACCUCCAAAUCCUCCUCGUGUACGGCAGAAAGUUGCAAGUAAAAGGGGGAAGAGGCCAGCAUCUAGUGCACGUUCAGGAAGUGGACAAUCGGCACCACAACAGCAGCCUACAGCCGAAGCACAGCAGCAGCCUACAACCAAAGCACAACAGCAGCGCACUGCCUCCUCUAGCAGUAGAACACUGAAGUCAAAAGUAUGGUUGGACUUCACCAAGAUAUACAAAGAUGGUGAUGCUGUAGCUAAGUGCAACCAUUGCUCCGCUGAGCUGUUAGUUAAAUCUGGACACGGUACAUCUCAUCUCCUUAGGCACAUUGAAUCGUUGCAUAAGACUGAUCAAUCAACAAUGAAUAAUUUUUUCUUGAAAUCUAAAACAAAUGAUGAUGGAACAAAUGCAUUGAGAAAUGUUAAAUAUGAUGCUCAAGUAGCCAGACAUGGAGUCUCUAUUUAUCUUGUGUCCGGUUCUCAUCCAUUUACAACAGUUGAAGAAGAUGGUUUUAGAACAAUGAUGACUGCUUGUUGUCCAACAUUCAAGAGUAUUGGUCGGCACACAAUAAAAAGAGAGAUAAUGGCAAUGUUUCUUUCCCAGAAAAAAGAAUUGCUUGAAAUUAUUGUUGCUGCACCUGGUAGAGUAAGUUUCACAUCUGACAAUUGGAAAUCUGAAGUCACCAAGCAUAGCUAUAUUUGCAUUACUUGUCAUUACAUAGAUGCUGAUUGGAAACUAAACAAAAGAAUUGUCUGGUUCAAAAAAAUUGAUCCACCAUAUGAUGGAGCAUCUAUUGCCGAUGAGGUCCAUCUAGCUUUUCGUGAAUGGAAGAUUGAGAAGAAAGUAAUGUGCAUCACUCUUGAUAAUGCAGCCUAUAAUGAUAGAAUGAUUGUUUGCUUGCGAACCCACUUGUUUCAAGGUGCUUUACCUUUGUCCGGCAAAUUAUUUCAAAUUCGUUGUUGUGCACACAUACUGAAUUUGGUAGUUCAAUCUGGUUUGACAUUGAUUGAUGGUGCUGUAGCCAAACUUAGAGAUGGUAUAAUGUAUCUAAAGGCUUCAAGUAAUAGGCUACACAAGUUUUAUAGCACUGCUACAACUACUUUCAACUUAGAAGAAUCAAAGAAGUUGAAACCUGACAUGCCCAUUCGUUGGAAUUCAACAUAUACUAUGCUUGGCUCCUGUUUGUACUUUAAAAAAGUGUUGCAGUGGUAUUCUGAGAGGGAUAGCAUCUUCAAGGUGCAUUUUUCGCCAAGUGAGGAAAAUGGUCCAAGGUAUCUCAUAUGUAUCAGUUUUUGGAGGUUUUCUUCAAGGUAACUACUGUUUUCUCAGGAACAAAAUAUCCAACAGCCAACUUGUACUUCAUGAAUGUUUAUCUAGUCCAUACUGCUAUUAUUGAGGCUACCGCUGGUAUAAAUAGCUACAUGGGUCCAAUGUUGUUUGCUAUGAGAGAAAAGUUCAUGAAAUGUUGGUCUGACUAUAGAGUAUUUCUAUCUUGUGCUGCUAUUCUUGAUCCCCGUAUUAAGUUCAAGUUCUUGGCUUAUUCCUACUCCAAGCUGUAUGAAGAGAGUGAUACCAAGCAUCGUCUUGCUGAUGUUAGAAGUACAUUGACUUCUUUAUUUAAUGAAUAUGGUAGUGUUGUACCUGUUCAUGACAACUUACCCAAAACUAGUAUGUCAAGCACUUGUGGACUUGGUGCCUUUUCUGACUAUGAUCAGUAUGUGGAAAGCACGAGCACAGUUGAAGAGAAAUUUGAAUUGGAAUUGUACUUGGCUGAACCUACCAAGAGGUUGAAUGAGAACAUUGAUAUCUUGGAUUACUGGAGCAAGUCUGGAGCUAGGUAUCCGCAGCUAGCAAGAUUGGCACGUAAUAUCCUUGUUGUUCCCGUGUCAAGUGUUGCAUCAGAAUCUGCUUUCAGCUUGAUUAAGAAGGUUAUAACCCCGAGCCGAGCCUCACUUAAACCAAAGACGGUUGAGGCCUUGAUGUGUUUGCAAGAUUGGUAUCUGCAAAUUGGAGAAGAAAGAUGGUAUAUAGUUUAACUUGCUUUGUUUAUUUCUUCAUGCUAUGUACUAGAGUUUAUAGCUAACAUGUUGUUGUAGUUGUUGUAGGUAAUAAGAGAAAGGCAGAAGUGGUUGAGCUAGAUGAUGAAAAUUCUUCUUCCGAUGAUGAAUGUAACAUCCAUAUUCUUUGUUCAUGUCAACUUGUCAAGUUCAACAUGUACUUUAGCUAACCUGAUGUUUAUUGCAUUUUGUAGAGUUCUUGCUAGAGCACUGAGAUGAGUAGAAGAUUCGGAGAAGGCAUGUCGAGAUGGCAACCAACAGCUACUGGUCCUUAUUUUUGGUUCUAUGAAUUGGCCAUCUGGCAUGUAAUAAUACAUUUAUGCACUUGUGUUUCUAGAAACUCGAAACUGGAAUGUUUGAUACUAUUUGAUGUGAAAACAAUGCUCUUUAGUGCUGUUUUGGUGCUGAUGUGCUGCUGUUUUGGUGCUGUUGUGCUGCUCUUUAUGCACUUUUGGUGCUGCUGUGCUGCUGUUUAUGCACUUUUG
This 2908-nucleotide long non-coding RNA is filed under the name Triticum aestivum (bread wheat). Its description in RNAcentral is "long non-coding RNA (TAES_LNC022297)". The record is from RNAcentral. Lineage: Eukaryota; Viridiplantae; Streptophyta; Magnoliopsida; Poales; Poaceae.